GGCGAACGCUGGCGGCGUGCCUAAUACAUGCAAGUCGAGCGGACCGGAUUGGGGCUUGCCUUGAUUCGGUCAGCGGCGGACGGGUGAGUAACACGUGGGCAACCUGCCCGCAAGACCGGGAUAACUCCGGGAAACCGGAGCUAAUACCGGAUAACACCGAAGACCGCAUGGUCUUCGGUUGAAAGGCGGCCUUUGGGCUGUCACUUGCGGAUGGGCCCGCGGCGCAUUAGCUAGUUGGUGAAGUAACGGCUCACCAAGGCGACGAUGCGUAGCCGGCCUGAGAGGGUGACCGGCCACACUGGGACUGAGACACGGCCCAGACUCCUACGGGAGGCAGCAGUAGGGAAUCUUCCGCAAUGGGCGAAAGCCUGACGGAGCGACGCCGCGUGAGCGAAGAAGGCCUUCGGGUCGUAAAGCUCUGUUGUGAGGGACGAAGGAGCGUCGUUCGAAGAGGGCGGCGCGGUGUCGGUACCUCACGAGAAAGCCCCGGCUAACUACGUG
This 501-nucleotide ribosomal RNA is filed under the name uncultured bacterium. RNAcentral's name for it is "partial 16S ribosomal RNA". It matches the Rfam family "Bacterial small subunit ribosomal RNA", at positions 28 to 507 of the family's 1533-position model. The record is from RNAcentral.